CACAGGUGCUGCAUGGCUGUCGUCAGCUCGUGCCGUGAGGUGUUGGGUUAAGUCCCACAACGAGCGCAACCUCGUCGUCAGUUAGACAUUUCUGACGAGACUGCCGGUGUAUAACCGGAGAAGUGGGAUGAUGUCAAGUCAGCAUGGCCUUUACUGUCCAGGGCUACACACACGCUACAAUGGUCGGUACAGAGGGCAGCGAAGUCGCGAGGCGGAGCCAAUCCCAGAAAGCCGGCCACAGUUCAGAUUGCAGGCUGCAACCCGCCUGCAUGAAGUCGGAGUUGCUAGUAACCGCAGGUCAGCGAUACUGCGGUGAAUACGUUCCCGGGCCUU
RNAcentral lists this ribosomal RNA (333 nucleotides) under uncultured Caldilineaceae bacterium. RNAcentral's name for it is "bacterial SSU rRNA". It matches the Rfam family "Bacterial small subunit ribosomal RNA", at positions 1033 to 1382 of the family's 1533-position model. Lineage: Bacteria; Bacillati; Chloroflexota; Caldilineae; Caldilineales; Caldilineaceae. The record is from RNAcentral.